Molecule: transfer RNA, 68 nt
Filed under: Agrilus sp. AGR01
Lineage: Eukaryota; Metazoa; Arthropoda; Insecta; Coleoptera; Buprestidae
Description: tRNA-Asn
Source: RNAcentral
UUAAUUGAAACCAAAAGAGAGGUAUAUCACUGUUAAUGAUAAAAAUGAGAUGCAAAUCUCCAAUUAAA